UGGAACUCAUGAACUCAAGAGAUCGUCCCACCUCAGCUUCUCAAAGUGCUAGGAUUACAGGUGUGAGCCACGGCGCUUGGUCUGCCCAAUUCUAGAACCGCAAUAAAGUCAGCUCAAAGGACCUGGCAUAAAAAUAUUAACUUGUAAUAAAAGUGUUUAGUAGCACUAAUAUGUGAUGGCAAUUUCAGGAAUGUCAAUGUUCUGAGCAAGAAGAACAAGGAACAGAAGGUAUAAUGAUAACAGAUGACAGAGGAAAAAGCAGACUCAAUCAACUCCUACUUUUCCAUCAUUUUUCCAUUACAGAGAAUUAUCCUCAAAUUAGAAAGAGUAGGACCUACGUGGUAAAGAAAAAAUUUACGUGCCAGGCAGAUGAGGAAGUAAGACAGCAUCCAGCCCCUUCACACAACUUCAUUCUCUGUCUUACUGAAACAAUGUGAAAUGUGGUGGCAACUUUACUGGGGACAGGAGAGGUGCCAGAAGUUUGAAGAUGGACUAAUGUCCUCGUUUUCUAAAAGAAGAACCUAUAAGUCUCUGAGCACAUUUCUCCUUGGCAAAAUUCUGGAAUGCAUAAUUAGACAAAUGGUUUGUGAAUCUUUAGAAAAGUGGCAAAAACAAGGCACAGCAUAAAUUCACUGAAAAAUAAGUGGACCUAAA
This is a non-coding RNA of Macaca mulatta (Rhesus monkey), 654 nucleotides long. The record is from RefSeq and is a predicted model, not a curated record. NCBI's taxonomy places the organism in Eukaryota, Metazoa, Chordata, Mammalia, Primates, Cercopithecidae.